This 824-nucleotide ribosomal RNA is filed under the name Striatibotrys eucylindrosporus. Its description in RNAcentral is "eukaryotic LSU rRNA". It matches the Rfam family "Eukaryotic large subunit ribosomal RNA", at positions 74 to 935 of the family's 3401-position model. RNAcentral also lists the same sequence under 1 other name. Lineage: Eukaryota; Fungi; Ascomycota; Sordariomycetes; Hypocreales; Stachybotryaceae. The record is from RNAcentral.
AUUGCCUCAGUAACGGCGAGUGAAGCGGCAACAGCUCAAAUUUGAAAUCUGGCCCCAGGCCCGAGUUGUAAUUUGCAGAGGAUGCUUUUGGCGCGGUGCCUUCCGAGUUCCCUGGAACGGGACGCCAUAGAGGGUGAGAGCCCCGUCUGGUUGGACACCAAGCCUUUGUAAAGCUCCUUCGACGAGUCGAGUAGUUUGGGAAUGCUGCUCUAAAUGGGAGGUACAUGUCUUCUAAAGCUAAAUACCGGCCAGAGACCGAUAGCGCACAAGUAGAGUGAUCGAAAGAUGAAAAGCACUUUGGAAAGAGAGUUAAACAGCACGUGAAAUUGUUAAAAGGGAAGCGUUUAUGACCAGACGUGGGCCGGUUAAUCAUCCAGCGUUCUCGCUGGUGCACUUUGCCGGUCCAGGCCAGCAUCAGUUCGCUGCGGGGGAUAAAGGCUUUGGGAAUGUAGCUCCUCGGAGUGUUAUAGCCCUCUGCGUAAUACCCUGCGGCGGACUGAGGUUCGCGCUCUGCAAGGAUGCUGGCGUAAUGGUCAUCAACGACCCGUCUUGAAACACGGACCAAGGAGUCGUCUUCGUAUGCGAGUGUUCGGGUGUAAAACCCCUACGCGAAAUGAAAGUGAACGCAGGUGAGAGCUUCGGCGCAUCAUCGACCGAUCCUGAUGUUCUCGGAUGGAUUUGAGUAAGAGCAUACGGGGCCGGACCCGAAAGAAGGUGAACUAUGCCUGUAUAGGGUGAAGCCAGAGGAAACUCUGGUGGAGGCUCGCAGCGGUUCUGACGUGCAAAUCGAUCGUCAAAUAUGGGCAUGGGGGCGAAAGACUAAU